This 253-nucleotide ribosomal RNA is filed under the name uncultured bacterium. Its description in RNAcentral is "partial 16S ribosomal RNA". It matches the Rfam family "Bacterial small subunit ribosomal RNA", at positions 524 to 776 of the family's 1533-position model. The record is from RNAcentral.
GACGAACCGUGCGAACGUUGUUCGGAAUCACUGGGCUUAAAGGGCGCGUAGGCGGUCAAUCAAGUCUGGGGUGAAAUCUUUCGGCUUAACCGGAAAAGUGCCUUAGAUACUGAUUGGCUCGAGGGAGGUAGGGGCAGCUGGAACUUCCGGUGGAGCGGUGAAAUGCGUUGAUAUCGGAAGGAACGCCGGUGGCGAAAGCGAGCUGCUGGACCUUUUCUGACGCUGAGGCGCGAAAGCUAGGGGAGCAAACGGG